GCCGGGGCGUCCCCCGCGGGAGCCCGCAGCCACCCGGGACGCGCAUCCAGACGUGGCGCUUCGGACCGGGCACGCUGCGCCCGGGGGCUCGGCGGACCCCGCGUAGCCGCCGCUUCGGAGCUUGUGCGGCGCGGGCUGGCCAGCGGGGCGGCCAGGGCCCGGCCCGCCUCCCCAGCGCCCGCCCGGCUUCUCCCCCUGGCGGUGGGAGCCUCGGCGGCCGCUGGCGACACUAGGCGCACUGAAGCCCGAGCCGAGCCGAGCCCGAGCCGCCGCCGCCGCCGCCGCUGCUGCGCACCGCUCCCGGGCUCCCUCCCAGCGCGCCGGCCGGGGUGUGGGGGGCGGCGGGCCGGAGGGGCGAGGGCGGGCCAGGGGGCGCACACGGGGGUUGGCGCGGAAGACAGGACCCUCAGCCUCGAGGGAGCCCCUAGGUGACCAGGCAAAAUGGCAGUUCCUUCCAGCUGGUCCUCAGAUGGGCACAUCUAUUAGCCUCUGCUCUUGUAAGAAGUUAGCUGCAGAACCCACAUGUGAAUCCUUGUAGGACUCUGGAGAAGAUCAAAUGGGAGCUUAGAUGUGGAAGCUCUUUGGAAACCAAGAAACACUCUGAAAAUGAAAAGGGAUCUCAACUUUUCUCUUCCCGCUCCAGCUGCACUAUGUAUCCGUGCUUGGCUCUCAGUUGUUGGAUUCUCAUGUCUCCUUUUUCACAGUGGCUCAGGUGGAAGAGUAAACUGUUCCUGUUUCUCCAUCUUGACAGGAAGCAGAAGUUCUCCUUAGCUGAUUUUUCUUCUUGCCUUAUACUGGGUUCUUUAACACCAGAACAAAAAUAAAUAAAUAAAAGAAUCUUCCAGAAAUUCAUGAAGAGACUUCAGGUCAGGAAAGCCUGAACUUUCUCAUCCAACACCCGUUCAAGUCGGAGGAUGCUGAUUAAUUCAUGAUGGAAAGGUAUCAAUUUCACAGCCCAGACCUCUACAUUCUUGAAAUGCUCUUCUCAUGGGAGACAUUAAAUAAGCUUUGAAUUAACUUGCCAUGACACCCAGGAUGCAGCUGUAGGAACACCACUGGGUCCCUGGAUGUCAUGUAAGCCCUUAAGUAAAAGUGCCAUCAAAUGAUUUCUCAGAAAUUAUAAAGAAACAAAAGGACCAUAAACAAGAUAAGGUGGCAUGAGGAAACAUUACAAGUACCUUUCAGAGCUGACUGGCAAAGAAACUCCUGAGGUGACGGUUCUACCCCAAUAUUACUUCUUCGAAGAGCAACCUAACUGGACUUAUCUUCCUCAGUUCUCUGUGAUGAACUUUUGUAGAGCCAUACGAAAGGAGGUUUUUAGCUCUCACCUGUGGUCUUUCUUCAUCAUGCACCUCCUAGAUUCAAAAGUUCAGCAGGGACAUGUCAAGCUAUAUAAAUAAAAACAAACUAAGAAAAAAUGUAACAUUCCAUACCUUAAAACGCAACCUUAAUAACGUGAAAGACCCUGAAGGACUUGAGACGUGAAGAUUUUCUACCACGGUCUUUGCCUGUAUUAUUUCUGACAGCUGUUCCUUUCUACUCCCUCUUGCACACAUCUUUAGUUACUCCCUGUUCUCCAUCCCUCUGAUAAAAUCUAGAGUUCCCCCCUCAAAUUAGAAAAUUAAAAAAAAUUAAAAAUCUAAAAUUAAAAUUUAAAAAAUUUUUAAAAAUCUAGAGUUUAAAAAAAAUGUUCUAUCUCAGGCUUGUGAACCAUAUUGUUAGUUCACAAUUAAGAAUGAUGUACAUCUAUUGGACAAGUUUUAAUUAAUUCUUUCCCUUGGCUGAUUAGUAAAUUUCUGCAGUGAGUACAAAUGUU
Molecule: long non-coding RNA, 1816 nt
Filed under: Homo sapiens (human)
Lineage: Eukaryota; Metazoa; Chordata; Mammalia; Primates; Hominidae
Description: PREDICTED lncRNA (TCONS_00182851)
Source: RNAcentral